UGGAGAGUUUGAUCCUGGCUCAGGACGAACGCUGGCGGCGUGCUUAACACAUGCAAGUCGAACGGAAAGGCCCUUCGGGGUACUCGAGUGGCGAACGGGUGAGUAACACGUGGGUGAUCUGCCCUGCACUUUGGGAUAAGCCUGGGAAACUGGGUCUAAUACCGGAUAUACCUCAUUGACUGCAUGGUUGGUGGGGGAAAGCUUUUGCGGUGUGGGAUGGGCCCGCGGCCUAUCAGCUUGUUGGUGAGGUUACGGCUCACCAAGGCGACGACGGGUAGCCGGCCUGAGAGGGUGACCGGCCACACUGGGACUGAGAUACGGCCCAGACUCCUACGGGAGGCAGCAGUGGGGAAUAUUGCACAAUGGGCGCAAGCCUGAUGCAGCGACGCCGCGUGAGGGAUGACGGCCUUCGGGUUGUAAACCUCUUUCAGUAGGGACGAAGCGCAAGUGACGGUACCUAUAGAAGAAGGACCGGCCAACUACGUGCCAGCAGCCGCGGUA
Molecule: ribosomal RNA, 501 nt
Filed under: Mycolicibacterium tusciae
Lineage: Bacteria; Bacillati; Actinomycetota; Actinomycetes; Mycobacteriales; Mycobacteriaceae
Description: bacterial SSU rRNA
Rfam family: Bacterial small subunit ribosomal RNA
Source: RNAcentral